AUUGUACAGAGGGAACAUCAUUUCCAGUUGAGAUACCAUGUCUUGAUAUUGAGAAUAAGUUGGAAUGGUAUUCCAUCAGUUCAGGCAUACCAUACUCAUUAGGACUAUAUGAUGAUGGAUAUGUCAUAUAUUACAAAGACAAUAGAGA
Molecule: long non-coding RNA, 148 nt
Organism: Amphimedon queenslandica
Lineage: Eukaryota; Metazoa; Porifera; Demospongiae; Haplosclerida; Niphatidae
Exons: 3
Source: RefSeq, a predicted model, not a curated record